RNA transcript from Leopardus geoffroyi (Geoffroy's cat), 5731 nucleotides. It is a transcript of the gene named membrane associated ring-CH-type finger 7, with no coding region annotated. The transcript has 10 exons. The record is from RefSeq and is a predicted model, not a curated record. Lineage: Eukaryota; Metazoa; Chordata; Mammalia; Carnivora; Felidae.
CGGUGGCGGCCGGUUCUGCGCCGGAUCUGAGAGAGGGGCGGUCGCCAUUGUGCUUCUCUGCGGACUGCUUUGCCUCAGUUAGAGGCCUAGAACUCCGAGGAGGAAGGCAGUGUUGCGGUCGUUGCGAGAGGGACGCGCCUUAUUCGUUGCCAGCUCGGGAGCAGGGGAAACUUUAAGAAUGGAGUCUAAACCUUCAAGGAUCCCAAGAAGAAUUUCUGUUCAACCAUCCAGCUCUUUAAGUGCUAGGAUGAUGUCUGGAAGCAGAGGAAAUAGUUUAAAUGAUACCUAUCACUCAAGAGACUCUUCAUUUAGACUGGAUUCUGAAUAUCAGUCUACAUCAGCAUCAGCAUCACCAUUUCAGUCUACUUGGUAUAGUGAAUCUGAGAUAACUCAGGGAGCACGCUCAAGAUCACAAAACCAGCAACGGGAUCAUGAUUCAAAAAGACCUAAACUUUCCUGUACAAACUGUACAUCUACCUCUGCUGGGAGAAAUAUUGGACAUGGUUUAAAUGCUGUAUCAGAAUCUUCUUGGAGGCAUAAUCAAGUUCCUAGAUCUUCAUCAAUGGUACUUGGAUCAUUUGGAACUGACUUGAUGAGAGAGAGAAGAGAUUUAGAGAGAAGAACAGAUUCUUCCAUUAGUAAUCUUAUGGAUUAUAGCCACCGAAGUGGUGAUUUCACAAAUUCAUCAUAUAUUCAAGACAGAGUUCCUUCUUCAUAUUCACAGGGAGCAAGACCAAAAGAUAACUCAGUGAGCACUUUACAGUUGAAUACAUCAUCCACAAACCACCAGAUGCCUUCUGAACAUCAGACUGUACCAUGUUCUAGGGACUCUAAUAGAAAUUCUCUACGGUCAAAUUUUUCUCCAAAAGAAUUGGAAUCUCCCCAAAGCAGUACACAGCCUGGAUUUUCUUAUCUUUCAAAUAGAGAUGAAGCCUCAACCAUAAGCAGUUCAGAUAGGGUUGGUUCAUCUCAAAGAUCAUUUCAAGAAUCUUCUGACAACGAAGGUAGACGUUCAACCAGAAGAUUGCUGUCACGUAUAGCUUCUAGUAUGUCAUCUACCUUCUUUCCCCGAAGAUCUAGUCAGGAUUCCUUGAAUACAAGAUCAUUGAGUUCUGAAAAUUCCUAUGUUUCUCCAAGAAUCUUGACAGCUUCACAGUCUCGUAGCAAUGCAGCGUCAGCUUCUGAUGUUCCCGAUAGUAGGGCAUCUGAAGCUUCUCAGGGAUUUCGAUUUCUUAGGCGAAGAUGGGGUUUGUCAUCUCUUAGCCAAAAUCAUAGCUCUGAGCCUGAUUCAGAAAAUUUUAACCAAGAAUCUGAAGGUAGAAAUACAGGACCAUGGUUAUCUUCCUCACUUAGAAAUAGAUGCACACCUUUGUUCUCUAGAAGGAGACGAGAGGGACGAGAUGAAUCUUCAAGGAUACCUACCUCUGAUAUACCAUCUAGAUCUCAUCAUAUUUUUAGAAGAGAAUCAAAUGAAGUGGUUCACCUUGAAGCACAGAGUGAUCCCCUUGGGGCUACUGCCAACAGAUCACAAGCAUCUGCAGCAUCGAGUAGUGCUGCUACGGGUGCCUCCACAUCAGAUUCAGCUCACAGUGGAAGAAAUACAGGAAUAACAGGGAUCCUUCCUGGUUCUUUAUUUCGAUUCGCAGUCCCCCCAGCACUUGGAAAUAAUUUGACCGACAAUGUCAUGAUCACUGUAGAUAUUAUUCCUUCAGGUUGGAGUUCAUCUGAUGGAAAAAGUGAUAAAACUAAAAGUGCACCUUCAAGAGACCCAGAAAAACUGCAGAAAAUAAAAGAGAGCCUCCUUUUAGAGGACUCUGAAGAAGAAGAAGGUGACUUAUGUAGAAUUUGUCAGAUGGCAGCUGCAUCAUCAUCUAACUUGCUGAUAGAGCCGUGCAAAUGCACAGGAAGCUUGCAGUAUGUUCACCAAGAUUGUAUGAAAAAGUGGUUACAGGCCAAAAUUAACUCUGGUUCUUCAUUAGAGGCUGUAACCACCUGUGAACUCUGUAAAGAGAAGUUGCAGCUUAACCUGGAGGAUUUUGAUAUUCAUGAACUACAUAGAGCUCAUGCAAAUGAACAAGCUGAGUAUGAGUUUAUCAGCUCUGGUCUCUACCUAGUUGUGUUAUUGCACUUGUGCGAACAAAGCUUUUCUGAUAUGAUGGGAAAUACAAAUGAACCAAGCACACGUGUCCGAUUUAUUAACCUUGCAAGAACUCUUCAGGCACAUAUGGAAGAUCUCGAAAGUAGGUGGAAUUUCCCCUUCCCAGACUUGUUGAAUUUCUUUUGCAAAUUAAAUCCACAGACCAAAACCUUACUGUAUACGCUUUCUACCAAAUUAGAGCUUCAUUUAUAGGCGUAGUAAUACCAUAAUAACUGAUUUGGGAAAGAUGGGUUGGGCAACUGACCUUCUUCAAAGCAUAUUUUUAAAAAAUAAUAAUUUUAAGGUACAGAAGGAUAUGUUUUAACUAGUGUUUUAUUUAAAAUUUUUAUUUUUGAUCGCCUUAAUUUUAAUCAAAAAGAAAACUUCUGGUCAAACCACACUUCUAAAUCUGUUAGGUGUGUGUGAGAGAGAGAGAGAGAGAAAUUUUGUUAAUCAUCUUUGUUAGAUCAUUAAAAGUUUUCCCUGGGUUUGUGUAUAGUUCUAGGAAAAUAGGGGUGAAAGAUUCCUAGUUCUGAGUCCAUAACAGAAGCCAUAGUUUUUUUUUUGCUCCUUGUUCAGGUCCUCAUGGACCUUUAAUAGGCAGCCAGCUCCGACAGCAACUCCAAUCUCUUAAGAUCACGUUCCAGCAUUAGGACUUCUGCCUGGGCUCCCAUGUGAAGGCACUUAAUGCCCAAAUCUUUACAGGCAUCUGCACAGCUUAACCUCAAAGUCCUACAACCUCCAGGGUGCUUCGUACCAGGUGGGCACAGAUAUUGGUGGCUCUGAAACAGUUCCUGGGAAUUCAAGAUUACCCUACCUAUUGUACUUUUUCACCCAAAGCAACUGGCUCCCCAUGAUCAGAUUCCAUGACACUCUUUGAAGUGUUUUAAAAUAUAUCUCCACUUGAUUAUUUUCUGUACUUGUCUUAAAAACACUUGUGGAGUGUUACCUGUAGUGUGCGUGUUUUUUUACCUUUAGGGAAAGCUCAGCAUCCUUUGAAGUAAAGUUUGAGAAGGACUUGGUCUUCAUGAGAGCCUUUUAAUUCCUAGAAUAUUCUAAGACAUGGGUUGUUGUCAUUAAGUUUGUACUAUUUUUAAGUUUUGAAAGGAUUAGAGGUACAACCCAGAUGCCUUUUCACAGUUUACUAUGUGUGAAAAUGGUAUAUAAAGGAGUCUGGUAUAUAAAGUGGGAAUUCAUUUGGUGUACAUCUUUUUUUUCUUUCAUAUAAACUUCUUCACAUCCCUUAUGUUACCUAACACAAAGAUCUCUUUUAGCAAAUUAUAAUUCAUACUUUGCCAGAUGUGAUGGUAGUAAUUUGUUUUAGAUGAUAGUAAUAUUUUCCCCAGAUUGCUUUACUUUUUUUUAAACUAACAUUUAGUAGUUUCCUAAACAUAGCAAUGUCUACUGCCAACAUGUAAGAAAGACGGAGGUGAAAUAUACCCAGAUUCAGCUGAGAGUAAAAGCUGUUGUGGGUGCUACAAGCUUACUCCUAAGUACCAGAAUAUUAAUGUAUUCUAAAAGUUGGUUCUCACUGAAUUUUCUUCUCUUGUGGAGUUAAUUGAAUAGAAAACAUGAGAAGUUCUCUGAAAAACUGUUUUAUUUCUUGGUUUGAUAUUUCUCCAUAAUAUAGCAUAAAACUUAACCAUAGGAUUUACUCAUUCAUGAGCCAAGUAUAUGCUUGCUAUCAUUUACUAAAAAUGGAUUGAAGAUUUCUGCAAGAUAAAUUGAAACAUGAAAACUUAAGUUUCAUCCAUACAUGUAGGAUGUUUUUGUUGAUUCCAUUUGUUGGGUGCUCUUAAAUAUUGGGUCUAAUAUUAAUACAAGAAGAGUAUACAUUUAACCUUUCUGCCCUUGAUAAUAGGGGAAAUGCUGGUUGGGUGUUUAUUUUAGUGAAUUCCAUUUUCCUCAACACAUAACAGUUUAGAGAAUCCAUAGUUUUAUACUUAGGUCCCUCCUAUAGACAUUCCAGGAUGUUUAUUUUAAACUUCUGAGCUACUACAAUGGCUCUUAAAUUGAGGUCAGAAAUGUUACAAACAUGAUGUUUCUGACAAUGUAGAGGCAUAGGAAUAAUCUCAAAAGUUUUUUACUAAAUCCAAUUGUUUUAACUUAGGCUGUGUCUAUAUAAAAGCUUUUUGGACUAAAUAGAGCUUUUUCUUGGCAUUGUAUAGACAUAGCUUUGAUGUAAAUUGCAAGAAUACCCAUAACCUAUUCUGUGUACAUUUUUUUUCAUUCUCAUCGGAUGCAUCAAAUAUGCAGCAGUAAUAAACCAGAUUCUACUCAGCUUCAGAGGAUGAUUCCGAAGAAGAUGGAGACCAUAACAGAACAUUUGAUAUUGCCUAACUUCAUAUAAGACAAAUGGAUGAUCUGUGAACAAGUGUUUAUUAAAACUGGCAAUUACGUAUGAUUUAAUUUUGUGGGGAAUGCCUAUUGGAGAUAGAUAUAUAUAUAUAUAUAUAUAUAUAUAUAUAUAUAUAUAUAUAUAUAUAUAUUUAGAUAUUCUCAAGUAUUGCUGAAUUAAAAAUUCUCCUGGACCUUUUAACAUGGCCAAUGAAUCUGAUGUUUAUAAACUGGUCAUCAGAAGUAUUUUUCUUUUCGGUGAGUGGGAAAAUGUUAUCCUUGUUUUAAAUAUCUAAGUAAUGCUGAUGGCCCUUUUUUGUGUUUUGAUUACUGUAGUCAUAUUUAUGAAAAAAGGUUCAUGUUUUUAGUUUCUUGCUAGUGAAAAAAGUGGGACAAAAUAUGCUUUUGAAAUAAAAUGGCACCUAAUUAUUUUUCUUUUCAAAAAUGCCUUAAGUUACAGUCUCAUUUUCAUGAUCAUUUGCUUCCAGUGUUUAUAAAAAAAAUAAUUGGGAAGUUAUGAAAGCAUUAUAUAUUGGGUUCCCAAAGUUAAUAUGAAUCCUAAAUUCACUUAGCAAUAAAAUCUAAUUUUUAAGAAGUAUAUAAAUAUAAAAUGUAUAAAUGAUGGAUAAAUUUUUGUAUUGAUUUGCAGAAUGCAGAUUAUAUUUGAUAAGCCAUAGUAUGUAGAUAUUCCUUUUAGGAGUAUUACAGCUGUAAAUUAUAUCAGAAUUGCCCAUCAAAUGCUAUUUGGGAAAAAAAAUUACUGCAAUCUCAAGUUAAUGGAAUAUUUUUAAAUCCCACAUUUAAAGUUUAAAACACUGGUUUUCAAUGUGUUUUUUAGUGUUGUCACUUCUUUAUAGAUAAAUACGAUAUAAAUAACCUGUUUGGAUCCUGGUCGUUUUUAACUGUUCCUUGGUAAUUCUGAGCAUUUACUGACUUAAUAUUUUUCACCACUUUUGGAGAACAGAUGAACAUCACCUGUUCACCAAUGAAUAGAUCUACACCAUGGUCAGGAGUUGUGUAUAAAGUUUCAUAACACUGUAUAUAUUUCCUCUGUCAACACCCUUUAGGAUAUACUUUUAAACACCUUCAGGUGGUUUCAGAUUAAAUAGUCUUAUGUUAUGGCAACUAACUACAUUUCCAGAACCUAAAUAGAAACCAUGUAAUUUCUCAAAUGUGAGUCAACAGUUUGGCCACACUUAGUUUGUUUGUCUUAAUGUAAAACCUUGGCUGGAAAUAAAAUGCAUACUGAUUGAUUUA